Molecule: ribosomal RNA, 253 nt
Filed under: uncultured bacterium
Lineage: Bacteria
Description: partial 16S ribosomal RNA
Rfam family: Bacterial small subunit ribosomal RNA
Source: RNAcentral
UACGAAGGGGGCGAGCGUUGUUCGGAUUUACUGGGCGUAAAGGGCGCGCAGGCGGCGAUCUUUGUCAGGCGUGAAAGCCCCGGGCUCAACCUGGGAACGGCGCUUGGGACGGGAUGGCUAGAGAUCGGGAGCGGAGAGUGGAAUUCCCAGUGUAGAGGUGAAAUUCGUAGAUAUUGGGAAGAACACCAGUGGCGAAGGCGGCUCACUGGCCCGAUACUGACGCUGAUGCACGAAAGCGUGGGGAGCAAACAGG